UAGCUCAGUCAGUAAAGAGUCUGCCUUCAAUGCAGGAGACCCGGGUUCGAUUCCUGG
Molecule: transfer RNA, 57 nt
Filed under: Ovis aries (sheep)
Lineage: Eukaryota; Metazoa; Chordata; Mammalia; Artiodactyla; Bovidae
Rfam family: tRNA
About the family: Transfer RNA (tRNA) molecules are approximately 80 nucleotides in length.
Source: Rfam by way of RNAcentral